This 62-nucleotide transfer RNA is filed under the name Calotes mystaceus. Its description in RNAcentral is "tRNA-Tyr". Lineage: Eukaryota; Metazoa; Chordata; Lepidosauria; Squamata; Agamidae. The record is from RNAcentral.
GGUCAGGUGGCUGAGUUAGGCGGUAGGCUGUAAAUCUACUUACGGGGACAACCCCCUGGUCG